Molecule: ribosomal RNA, 490 nt
Filed under: uncultured bacterium
Lineage: Bacteria
Description: bacterial SSU rRNA
Rfam family: Bacterial small subunit ribosomal RNA
Source: RNAcentral
AUCCUGGCUCAGGAUGAACGCUAGCGGCAGGCUUAACACAUGCAAGUCGAGGGGUAGAGGAAGCUUGCUUCCUUGAGACCGGCGCACGGGUGCGUAACGCGUAUACAAUCUACUUUACAGAGGGAUAGCCCAGAGAAAUUUGGAUUAAUACCUCAUAGUAUUUUCGGAUCGCAUGAUUUGAUUAUUAAAGUUCCAACGGUAAAAGAUGAGUAUGCGUCCCAUUAGCUAGAUGGUAAGGUAACGGCUUACCAUGGCAAUGAUGGGCAGGGGUCCUGAGAGGGAGAUCCCCCACACUGGUACUGAGACACGGACCAGACUCCUACGGGAGGCAGCAGUGAGGAAUAUUGGACAAUGGGCGCAAGCCUGAUCCAGCCAUGCCGCGUGCAGGAAUAAGGUCCUAUGGAUUGUAAACUGCUUUUAUACAGGAAGAAACACACCCUCGUGAGGGUACUUGACGGUACUGUAUGAAUAAGGACCGGCUAACUCCGUG